Molecule: non-coding RNA, 30 nt
Filed under: Mus musculus (house mouse)
Lineage: Eukaryota; Metazoa; Chordata; Mammalia; Rodentia; Muridae
Source: RNAcentral
UGCCAUGAAAAUGAUAGGUGUCUAACCAGU